RNAcentral lists this long non-coding RNA (381 nucleotides) under Amborella trichopoda. Its description in RNAcentral is "long non-coding RNA (ATRI_LNC003731)". The record is from RNAcentral. Lineage: Eukaryota; Viridiplantae; Streptophyta; Magnoliopsida; Amborellales; Amborellaceae.
UUUUUUCGUCCCUUUGUAAUGAAGGCCAAUAGUAUCUUUGACGAACUAGAGCCUCGGUCUUGUCUUGCCCAAAAUGCUUCAUAGUGGUGGACUUGGGAAGUUCGGCUACAACUUGUAGGCGUAGAAAUCUCUCAGGCACACAUAGUGAGUUACCUCGAAAAAGAUAACCAUUGAAGAGUAUAUAAGGGCUGUUUGGAGUCUCAGGGAGUUCCCCUAUCACUUUUGAGAAGUAGGAAUCCGAACCAUAGUGCUUAGGUAGUACUUCAAAGCCGAUAACUUCAUAAGAUAGUGUAGUCAACAAGGUAUGUUUGCGGCUGAGAGCAUCGGCUACCUUGUUGGCUGCCCCGGACUGGGUGUUGAAGGACAAAAGUGAAUUCUUGC